GGGUUGUGAGGUUAAGCGACUAAGCGUACACGGUGGAUGCCCUGGCAGUCAGAGGCGAUGAAGGGCGUACUAAUCUGCGAUAAGCGCCGGUAAGGUGAUAUGAACCGUUAUAACCGGCGAUACCCGAAUGGGGAAACCCAGUGUGAUUCGUCACACUAUCAUUAACUGAAUCCAUAGGUUAAUGAGGCGAACCGGGGGAACUGAAACAUCUAAGUACCCCGAGGAAAAGAAAUCAACCGAGAUUCCCCCAGUAGCGGCGAGCGAACGGGGAGGAGCCCAGAGCCUGAAUCAGCAUGUGUGUUAGUGGAAGCGUCUGGAAAGGCGCGCGAUACAGGGUGACAGCCCCGUACACAAAAGCGCAUGUGCUGUGAGCUCGAUGAGUAGGGCGGGACACGUGGUAUCCUGUCUGAAUAUGGGGGGACCAUCCUCCAAGGCUAAAUACUCCUGACUGACCGAUAGUGAACCAGUACCGUGAGGGAAAGGCGAAAAGAACCCCGGCGAGGGGAGUGAAAAAGAACCUGAAACCGUGUACGUACAAGCAGUGGGAGCACAGGUUUACCUGUGUGACUGCGUACCUUUUGUAUAAUGGGUCAGCGACUUAUAUUCUGUAGCAAGGUUAACCGAAUAGGGGAGCCGGAGGGAAACCGAGUCUUAACCGGGCGUUAAGUUGCAGGGUAUAGACCCGAAACCCGGUGAUCUAGCCAUGGGCAGGUUGAAGGUUGGGUAACACUAACUGGAGGACCGAACCGACUAAUGUUGAAAAAUUAGCGGAUGACCUGUGGCUGGGGGUGAAAGGCCAAUCAAACCGGGAGAUAGCUGGUUCUCCCCGAAAGCUAUUUAGGUAGCGCCUCGUGAAUUCAUCUCCGGGGGUAGAGCACUGUUUCGGCUAGGGGGCCAUCCCGGCUUACCAACCCGAUGCAAACUGCGAAUACCGGAGAAUGUUAUCACGGGAGACACACGGCGGGUGCUAACGUCCGUCGUGAAGAGGGAAACAACCCAGACCGCCAGCUAAGGUCCCAAAGUCAUGGUUAAGUGGGAAACGAUGUGGGAAGGCCCAGACAGCCAGGAUGUUGGCUUAGAAGCAGCCAUCAUUUAAAGAAAGCGUAAUAGCUCACUGGUCGAGUCGGCCUGCGCGGAAGAUGUAACGGGGCUAAACCAUGCACCGAAGCUGCGGCAGCGACACUGUGUGUUGUUGGGUAGGGGAGCGUUCUGUAAGCCUGUGAAGGUGUGUCGUGAGGCAUGCUGGAGGUAUCAGAAGUGCGAAUGCUGACAUAAGUAACGAUAAAGCGGGUGAAAAGCCCGCUCGCCGGAAGACCAAGGGUUCCUGUCCAACGUUAAUCGGGGCAGGGUGAGUCGACCCCUAAGGCGAGGCCGAAAGGCGUAGUCGAUGGGAAACGGGUUAAUAUUCCCGUACUUGGUGUUACUGCGAAGGGGGGACGGAGAAGGCUAUGUUGGCCGGGCGACGGUUGUCCCGGUUUAAGCGUGUAGGUGUGUGUUCCAGGUAAAUCCGGUUCACUUUAACACUGAGGCGUGACGACGAGGCACUACGGUGCUGAAGCAACAAAUGCCCUGCUUCCAGGAAAAGCCUCUAAGCAUCAGGUAACAUCAAAUCGUACCCCAAACCGACACAGGUGGUCAGGUAGAGAAUACCAAGGCGCUUGAGAGAACUCGGGUGAAGGAACUAGGCAAAAUGGUGCCGUAACUUCGGGAGAAGGCACGCUGACACGUAGGUGAAGUGAUUUACUCAUGGAGCUGAAGUCAGUCGAAGAUACCAGCUGGCUGCAACUGUUUAUUAAAAACACAGCACUGUGCAAACACGAAAGUGGACGUAUACGGUGUGACGCCUGCCCGGUGCCGGAAGGUUAAUUGAUGGGGUCAGCGCAAGCGAAGCUCCUGAUCGAAGCCCCGGUAAACGGCGGCCGUAACUAUAACGGUCCUAAGGUAGCGAAAUUCCUUGUCGGGUAAGUUCCGACCUGCACGAAUGGCGUAAUGAUGGCCAGGCUGUCUCCACCCGAGACUCAGUGAAAUUGAACUCGCUGUGAAGAUGCAGUGUACCCGCGGCAAGACGGAAAGACCCCGUGAACCUUUACUAUAGCUUGACACUGAACAUUGAGCCUUGAUGUGUAGGAUAGGUGGGAGGCUUUGAAGUGUGGACGCCAGUCUGCAUGGAGCCGACCUUGAAAUACCACCCUUUAAUGUUUGAUGUUCUAACGUGGACCCGUUACCCGGGUUGCGGACAGUGUCUGGUGGGUAGUUUGACUGGGGCGGUCUCCUCCUAAAGAGUAACGGAGGAGCACGAAGGUUGGCUAAUCCUGGUCGGACAUCAGGAGGUUAGUGCAAUGGCAUAAGCCAGCUUGACUGCGAGCGUGACGGCGCGAGCAGGUGCGAAAGCAGGUCAUAGUGAUCCGGUGGUUCUGAAUGGAAGGGCCAUCGCUCAACGGAUAAAAGGUACUCCGGGGAUAACAGGCUGAUACCGCCCAAGAGUUCAUAUCGACGGCGGUGUUUGGCACCUCGAUGUCGGCUCAUCACAUCCUGGGGCUGAAGUAGGUCCCAAGGGUAUGGCUGUUCGCCAUUUAAAGUGGUACGCGAGCUGGGUUUAGAACGUCGUGAGACAGUUCGGUCCCUAUCUGCCGUGGGCGCUGGAGAACUGAGGGGGGCUGCUCCUAGUACGAGAGGACCGGAGUGGACGCAUCACUGGUGUUCGGGUUGUCAUGCCAAUGGCACUGCCCGGUAGCUAAAUGCGGAAGAGAUAAGUGCUGAAAGCAUCUAAGCACGAAACUUGCCCCGAG
This 2789-nucleotide ribosomal RNA is filed under the name Salmonella enterica subsp. enterica serovar Enteritidis. RNAcentral describes it as "partial 23S ribosomal RNA". It matches the Rfam family "Bacterial large subunit ribosomal RNA". The record is from RNAcentral. Lineage: Bacteria; Pseudomonadati; Pseudomonadota; Gammaproteobacteria; Enterobacterales; Enterobacteriaceae.